Molecule: ribosomal RNA, 439 nt
Filed under: uncultured bacterium
Lineage: Bacteria
Description: partial 16S ribosomal RNA
Rfam family: Bacterial small subunit ribosomal RNA
Source: RNAcentral
CUACGAGCCGCUGCAGUGGGGAAUCUUGGACAAUGGGCGCAAGCCUGAUCCAGCCAUGCCGCGUGAGUGAAGAAGGCCUUAGGGUCGUAAAGCUCUUUCGCCAGAGAUGAUAAUGACAGUAUCUGGUAAAGAAACCCCGGCUAACUCCGUGCCAGCAGCCGCGGUAAUACGGAGGGGGUUAGCGUUGUUCGGAAUUACUGGGCGUAAAGCGCGCGUAGGCGGAUUAGUCAGUCAGAGGUGAAAUCCCAGGGCUCAACCCUGGAACUGCCUUUGAUACUGCUAGUCUUGAGUUCGAGAGAGGUGAGUGGAAUUCCGAGUGUAGAGGUGAAAUUCGUAGAUAUUCGGAGGAACACCAGUGGCGAAGGCGGCUCACUGGCUCGAUACUGACGCUGAGGUGCGAAAGUGUGGGGAGCAAACAGGAUUAGAUACCCUAGUAGUC